Molecule: unclassified non-coding RNA, 419 nt
Filed under: Hevea brasiliensis (rubber tree)
Lineage: Eukaryota; Viridiplantae; Streptophyta; Magnoliopsida; Malpighiales; Euphorbiaceae
Source: RNAcentral
UGUCUUGACAAAUGAGCUUUCUCUAGAAUGUAAGUUUGCAAUAAACACAUAAUCAGGACAAAAAAUUACUCAUGUAGAGCCCACAGCUAACAAACAAUAUGCUGAUCAGUGAUCAUCUUGCAGAACUAGAUAAGACUAUUUGGCUAUUGUUUCAGCUCUAGCAGAAUUUUGCCAACAAUCUCUAAGGAUAAGCAAAAUUAAAUUUAUUCAAGAUCUUUCAAAUAUUCAUUGCAUCACUUUUGAACACCUCAGUCAAUGUAUGGAGAAUCACUGCAUUCAAAGUAAGGAUUGCCACUAUAUAAAUGAAAAUAUGCACAUUGCAAACAAAUCAAUGCACCUGAAAUUUUCUGCAUGAUGACAACAGCACUAGCAUUUUUACACAUCUACAAAACUUCCAACUCAACUUAACUAAGCCUUUA